GAUGAACGCUGGCGGCGUGCCUAAUACAUGCAAGUCGAGCGAACAGAUGAGGAGCUUGCUCCUCUGACGUUAGCGGCGGACGGGUGAGUAACACGUGGAUAACCUACCUAUAAGACUGGGAUAACUUCGGGAAACCGGAGCUAAUACCGGAUAAUAUAUUGAACCGCAUGGUUCAAUAGUGAAAGACGGUUUUGCUGUCACUUAUAGAUGGAUCCGCGCCGCAUUAGCUAGUUGGUAAGGUAACGGCUUACCAAGGCGACGAUGCGUAGCCGACCUGAGAGGGUGAUCGGCCACACUGGAACUGAGACACGGUCCAGACUCCUACGGGAGGCAGCAGUAGGGAAUCGUCCGCAAUGGGCGAAAGCCUGACGGAGCAACGCCGCGUGAGUGAUGAAGGUCUUCGGAUCGUAAAACUCUGUUAUUAGGGAAGAACAAAUGUGUAAGUAACUAUGCACGUCUUGACGGUACCUAAUCAGAAAGCCACGGCUAACUACGUG
RNAcentral lists this ribosomal RNA (497 nucleotides) under uncultured bacterium. RNAcentral's name for it is "partial 16S ribosomal RNA". It matches the Rfam family "Bacterial small subunit ribosomal RNA", at positions 28 to 507 of the family's 1533-position model. The record is from RNAcentral.